UGGAGAGUUUGAUCCUGGCUCAGGACGAACGCUGGCGGCGUGCUUAAUACAUGCAAGUCGAGGGACGAAACCAAGAUGGGCAACCAUCGAGGCUGAAACCGGCGAACGGGUGAGUAACACGUGGGUAACGCACCCCAGACACAGGAACAACAACGGGAAACCGUUGCUAAUGCCUGAUAACCCCUGCGUACCGCAUGGCGGGCAGGGCAAAGCUCCGGCGGUCUGGGACCGGCCCGCGUCCUAUCAGCUUGUUGGUGGGGUAACGGCCUACCAAGGCGAUGACGGGUAGCUGGCGUGAGAGCGUGACCAGCCACACUGGGACUGAGACACGGCCCAGACUCCUACGGGAGGCAGCAGUAGGGAAUCUUGCACAAUGGGCGAAAGCCUGAUGCAGCGACGCCGCGUGAGGGAUGACGGCCUUCGGGUUGUAAACCUCUUUCAGCGGGGACGAAGCGAAAGUGACGGUACCCGCAGAAGAAGGUCCGGCCAACUACGUGCCAGCAGCCGC
Molecule: ribosomal RNA, 508 nt
Filed under: Actinomycetota bacterium
Lineage: Bacteria; Bacillati; Actinomycetota
Description: bacterial SSU rRNA
Rfam family: Bacterial small subunit ribosomal RNA
Source: RNAcentral